CCUUCGGUAGCUCAGUUGGUAGAGCGGUGGACUGUAGUGUAAAUAUCCAUGGUUAUCCAUAGGUCGCUGGUUCAAAUCCGGCCCGAAGGA
This 90-nucleotide transfer RNA is filed under the name Acyrthosiphon pisum (pea aphid). It matches the Rfam family "tRNA". From Rfam's summary of the family: Transfer RNA (tRNA) molecules are approximately 80 nucleotides in length. Their secondary structure includes four short double-helical elements and three loops (D, anti-codon, and T loops). RNAcentral also lists the same sequence under 3 other names. The record is from Rfam by way of RNAcentral. Lineage: Eukaryota; Metazoa; Arthropoda; Insecta; Hemiptera; Aphididae.